CCUACGGGUGGCUGCAGUAGGGAAUCUUUCACAAUGGGCGAAAGCCUGAUGGAGCAACGCCGCGUGCAGGAUGAAGGCCUUCGGGUUGUAAACUGCUUUUAUAAGCGAGAAAUAUGAUGGUAACUUAUGAAUAAGGAUCGGCUAACUACGUGCCAGCAGCCGCGGUCAUACGUAGGAGCCGAGCAUUAUCCGGAGUGAUUGGGUGUAAAGAGUUGCGUAGGUGGCAUAAUAAGUAGCUAGUGAAAUCGGGUGGCUCAACCAUUCAGACUAUUAGCUAAACUGUUGAGCUCGAGACCGUUAGGGGUAACUGGAAUUUCUAGUGUAGGAGUGAAAUGCGUAGAUAUUAGAAGGAACACCAAUAGCGUAGGCAGGUUACUGGGACGGUUCUGACACUAAGGCACGAAAGCGUAGGGAGCAAACGGGAUUAGAUACCCUAGUAGUC
Molecule: ribosomal RNA, 442 nt
Filed under: uncultured bacterium
Lineage: Bacteria
Description: partial 16S ribosomal RNA
Rfam family: Bacterial small subunit ribosomal RNA
Source: RNAcentral